RNAcentral lists this unclassified non-coding RNA (2316 nucleotides) under Centruroides sculpturatus (bark scorpion). Its description in RNAcentral is "deoxyribonuclease gamma-like, transcript variant X6". The record is from RNAcentral. Lineage: Eukaryota; Metazoa; Arthropoda; Arachnida; Scorpiones; Buthidae.
UGACCUGAAUAACCAAACGCGUUUAAAAAUCACGGUUACGGACGUCACCGGUUGUUCUUCCCUUAGUUAUCGAGGUUCCAUUCAUAAGCUAAGAUUAGCGAAUUUUCUAUAACUCUUGAAAUUCAACUGUUGAAUUUCUGCUGGGUUGAAUUACUCUUUUCGCUCGUGUAUAUUAGGUGCAUUUAGGUUAACAUUAACUCAUUUAAUUGUCCGCUAGGGGGUGACGGGUAGUGGCUGUGGAUUGCCACGUGAUAAGUGGGUUUUCCCUAAAGGUGUAACUCACAGUUGUUAGUCUCAAUGUUGAAACUUUGAUUGUUACUCAGUUUGACCACUUGAAAGCAGUGAAAAAUUAACUUUGAUGCCAUCUAGUUCCACAACAUGGAAAAUUCCAAAUUAUUGAACAAUGUUUAGUGACUAAUGAUGAAGAUCUGACAAUCUUAUUUUAUAUUAUUUAUUUAUGGAUUGCAUUAAUGAAUAUUUCUAUUAUUUUUACCACGAGCAAAUAACUUGUGAAGCAUUAUCCGGACCAACAUUUUAGUGACAAUCUUAGGAGUCCUUUCGUACGACUAAUCAAACAACAGUUCAGUAAUUUUUUAUACUAUCAUUUUUAGUUUAUAGUACUUCAUAAAGCAUACUUUGUUUAUUGGUUGAGCCCUUCGCUGUCGACAAUAUAUUGCUUUCUUUGACGAAGGAAUUAAAAGCAAGUUGUUUUGUUCGGCUAACUGGAAGACAAAGUAAUGUGAAAAACUAUAUUUUGUUAAACAGAAUUUCAGUUUGACAAAAUUUGAUUGGGAGAUAAAAAACACUAUUGAAAAUAUAUCAAUACUCAAAAAUUUAGUUGACAAAUUGAGAAGAUUGUGAAAGAAAUGGCAUUCAUUUAUUGUUGCUAGUGUUCUUGUUGUUAUUGAUGAUAUAGUUUUGUUGUUUUGCUAUUGAUAAAUAAUUGUUUUUAAAUCAUAUUUUAUAUCAUAUGUAAUAUGAAUUUUACUAAAUUAUGAAAAAGAAAUUGAAUUUUUAUCAAAUAUUUACAACUAUGAAAUGACUAAAACAUUAUACAUUACUAAAAAGAGAUUAAAAUAUUCACAAAUCAAUUUUUAAAUAUUUAAUAGAAAUAAUCUUAUAGGUAAGAUAACAAUAAUAAAUUACCUGUUUAAAUAAAAAAUUACUUGUUAAACAGGAAGGAACAAUGCAAAUAUAACUUGCAACUCAUCCUUCCUUUAAAGAUUCCUAUAUCAGCACCUAUUACAGUAGAAACAGUUCAGUUGAAAUUUUUUUAUAAUAUAAGAAGCAUGAAAAGUUUUAUUUUUGUUCUUGUAUUUUUAUACACAUAUCAAAUAAAAUAUUGUUCUAGUAAAGAUGUAAGAUCAUCUUCAUUAAAGAUAGGUGCUUUUAAUGUUCAAAAUUUAGGUGCCAAAAAACUAAAUAAUGAAGAAAUUGCAGAAAUUAUUAGAAAUAUUAUACUUCGUUAUGAUGUCAUCCUAAUACAAGAAAUUGUAACCCGUAAUCAGAAUCUUAUAAAAGAAUUUCUCAAUUCAGUUAACAGUGUAGCACCAAAACGAAUAGUCUAUGAUAUGGUUUUGAGCAAACGUUUAGGAAGAAAUAAAGCUAAAGAGCAGUAUGCUUUCUUCUACAGGAGAGAUGCUGUUUCAGUAUUAGAUAAAAUGGUAUAUCCUGAUUUGGAAGAUAAAUUUAUGAGACCUCCUUAUAUAGUGCAUUUUCAAACUCCAACAGUUGAAAACAUGCCAUCUUUUAUUGCAAUUGGCAUUCACACACAACCAAGUAAUGCAGCAAAUGAAACAGAUUAUUUAACAGAUGUCUAUGAUUUUGCAAAGAAUAAGUAUAAAAUAAAAGAUGCAAUGAUUAUGGGAGAUAUGAAUGCAGGGUGUUCUUCAGUACGAGUGCGUGACUGGAAAAAUAUUCGACUAAGAACUAGAAGAGACUUUAUCUGGUUAAUAGGUCAAAAUGUUGAUACUACAACAAAUGCCAAUACUUGUCCUUAUGAUAGAAUUGUAAUUGCCGGCGAGAAAAUUGAAAGUGCAAUAAUACCUAAUUCAGCUGGAAUAUUCAAUUUUCAGAAUGCAUAUAAAUUAACUUUAGAGGAGAUCUAUAAAUUUUUACUGACAUCCAUCUGUCUGUCUAUCCUUCCUUAAUCUAAGAAUGGAGUUAGAUAAAAGUUAAAACCAAGUAUGGAAAGCUUUGGAGAUCCCAUUUAACAUCUGCUGUUUUAUUCUCCUGGAGGCAUUUUACAUAUACAUGUGUAAAAGAAUAAGCAAUGAUAAGAGGUGCCUAAGAAGGUGAGGCCCUUGCCAUAACCAG